RNAcentral lists this long non-coding RNA (1997 nucleotides) under Junco hyemalis (dark-eyed junco). RNAcentral's name for it is "lncRNA (ENSJHYG00000005474.1)". Lineage: Eukaryota; Metazoa; Chordata; Aves; Passeriformes; Passerellidae. The record is from RNAcentral.
CAGCUUUUCCACGAGGUCUUUAAUUCCCAUUCGGGCCCCCGGCCAUGCCCUGCGCCACCUCCGCGAGUGGGGGGAACAUUGUCCCCAAGGGUCACCCCCCAGCCCGGCGUGAGGGGGACACGCGGUGACACCGAGAGGGGACAGACACGGAGGGGAGGGACACGAGCCACCCCCGACCGGGGAUAAAAGGGGGAAUGUUGGGAAUUCUUCCCGUUUUAUGUACAAAAUUCCGGCUGGGGGAGGGGACAGGGACACCCAGGGACCUCCCCCCUCCCCGUGGUCAAAACAGUUCUGGUAGUUAAUAUCAUUAAUAAUGGCAAUAAUUAAUGGCAGGCGACAGCGGUGUCCCCAUGCCCCGGGUGGCAUCAGGAUCCUGAUCCUGGACAGGCGGAGAUCCGGGAUCAUCCCUCUAAUCCUCAAUAUCCACCCUAUUGUAGAGAGCUUCCAUCCCACUGUGGAUCAUCCAUCCCACCUAGAACAUCCGUUCAAACCUGAAGCAUCCAUCCCACCUUGGAUUAUCCUUUUCUGGAGCAUCCACCCAUCAUUGGAACAUCUAUUCCACUUGGAUCAUCCAUCCCACCUAGAACAUCCCUUCCAUCCUGGAGUAUCCAUCCCAUCCUGGAUCAUCCACCUCACUUUGGAUCAUCCAUCCCACCUUGGAACAUCCAACCCAUCCUUAAGCUUCCAUCCCACCUGGAGCAUCCUUUUCUGGAGUAUCCAUCCUAUGUUGAACAUCCAUCCCACCUGGAUCAUCCAUCCUGCCUUGGAUCAUGCAUCCCAACCUGGAGCAUCCAUCUCAUCCCAGAGAGUCCAUCCCACCUUGGCUCAUCCAUCCUUUUCCAGAGCUUCCAUCCCAUCUUGGAUAAUCCAUCCCACCAGGAUCAUCCAACCCAUCCUGGAGUUUCCAUCCCAACCUGGAUAUCCAUCCCACCUUGGAUCAUCCAUCCUUUUCCACAGCUUCCAUCCCACCUCGGAAUAUUCAUCCCACCUUGGAUGAUCCAUCCCAUCUUGGAUUGUGCAUCCCAACCUGGAGCAUCCAUCUCAUCCCAGAACAUCCAUCCCACCUUGGAUCAUCCAUCCUUUUCCAAAGCAUCCAUCCCACCUUGCAUCAUCCUUUUCCAGAGCAUCCAUUCCUUGUUGGAACACCCAUCCCACCUUGGAUGAUCCAUCCUGACCUGGAGCUUCCAUCCCACCAGGAUCAGCCAUCCUACCUUGGAUCAUCCAAUCCAUCCUGGAGCAUCCAUCUUACCUUGGAUCAUCCAUCCCUUUCCAGAGCUUCCAUCCCAGCCUGGAGUGUCCAGCUCAUCUGAGAGCAUCCAUCCCACCUUGGAUGAUCCAUCCCACCUCAGAACAUCCAUCCUACCUUGGAACAUCCAUCUCAUUCCAGAGCAUCCAUCCCACCUUGGAUCAUCCAUUCCACCUGAAGCAUCCAUCCCACCUUGAGUGAUUCAUCCCACCUUAGAACAUCCAUCCUGACCUGGAGCUUCCAUCCCAUCCUGGAGUGUCCAUCUUAACCCAGAGCAUCCAUCCCACCUUGGAUCAUCCAUUCUUUUCCAGAGCUUCCAUUCCACCUCAGAAUAUUCAUCCCACCUUGGAUGAUCCAUCCUGUCUUGGAUUGUGCAUCCCAACCUGGAGCAUCCAUCUCAUCCCAGAGCAUCCAUCCCACCUUGGAUCAUUCAUCCAUUUCCAGAGCUUCCAUCCCACCUUGGAUCAUCCAUCCUUUUCUGGAUCAUCCCUCCCAUUCUGGACCACCCCUCCUGCCCAUCCCGGCGCCUCCACCCCUCUCCCUCCUCCGCCCCAUUCCCGGCUCUCUCCACCUCUUCCUGAGGCCAAACCCAGGAAUUUUGGCUCAUUCCAGGAUUUCCCCGAGUCCCCCCUCAGCCGGGCCAGGCCAGGGUCACCCGGGGUGGGGACAUCAGGGGGCUGGGUCCCCUCAUCCCGCUGAGCCUGGUGGCUCCGCCCAGCUCCGAGGGGAGGGGACAGGGAUGUCCCCAGUC